This 271-nucleotide ribosomal RNA is filed under the name uncultured bacterium. RNAcentral's name for it is "partial small subunit ribosomal RNA". It matches the Rfam family "Bacterial small subunit ribosomal RNA", at positions 26 to 285 of the family's 1533-position model. The record is from RNAcentral.
AGGACGAACGCUGGCGGCGUGCUUAACACAUGCAAGUCGAACGGAUUCUCGGUUUCGGCCGGGGUUAGUGGCGAACGGGUGAGUAACACGCGGGUGACCUGCCUCAGACUCUGGGAUAACUCCGGGAAACCGGGGCUAAUACCGGAUAGUACCUGUCCUCGCAUGGGGGUGGGUGGAAAGUCGGUGUUUAGUAGACACUGUUCGGUCUGGGAUGGGCCCGCGGCCUAUCAGCUUGUUGGUGGGUGAUGGCCUACCAAGGCGGUGACGGGUA